RNAcentral lists this ribosomal RNA (815 nucleotides) under Sarcocystis sp. RNAcentral describes it as "SSU rRNA". It matches the Rfam family "Eukaryotic small subunit ribosomal RNA", at positions 150 to 958 of the family's 1831-position model. Lineage: Eukaryota; Apicomplexa; Conoidasida; Eucoccidiorida; Sarcocystidae. The record is from RNAcentral.
UGGUAAUUCUAUGGCUAAUACAUGCGCACAUGCCUCUUCCCUCGUGGAAGGGUAGUGUUUAUUAGAUACAGAACCAACCCACCUUCGGGUGGUCCUCAGGUGAUUCAUAGUAACCGAACGGAUCGCAUUAUGGCCUUUUGGUCGGCGAUGGAUCAUUCAAGUUUCUGACCUAUCAGCUUUCGACGGUACUGUAUUGGACUACCGUGGCAGUGACGGGUAACGGGGAAUUAGGGUUCGAUUCCGGAGAGGGAGCCUGAGAAACGGCUACCACAUCUAAGGAAGGCAGCAGGCGCGCAAAUUACCCAAUCCUGACUCAGGGAGGUAGUGACAAGAAAUAACAACACUGGAAAUUAUAUUUCUAGUGAUUGGAAUGAUGGGAAUCCAAACCCCUUUCAGAGUAACAAUUGGAGGGCAAGUCUGGUGCCAGCAGCCGCGGUAAUUCCAGCUCCAAUAGCGUAUAUUAAAGUUGUUGCAGUUAAAAAGCUCGUAGUUGGAUAUCUGCUGGAAGCAGCCAGUCCGCCCUUUGUGGGUGUGCACUUGGUGAAUUCUGGCAUCCUCCUGAUUGGUGUUAUCAUCACUUCAUUGUGUUGAUGGCAGCUGUCAGGACCGUUACUUUGAGAAAAUUAGAGUGUUUCAAGCAGGCUUGUUGCCUUGAAUACUGCAGCAUGGAAUAACAAGAUAGGAUUUCGGUUCUAUUUUGUUGGUUUCUAGGACUGAAGUAAUGAUUAAUAGGGACAGUUGGGGGCAUUCGUAUUUAACUGUCAGAGGUGAAAUUCUUAGAUUUGUUAAAGACGAACUACUGCGAAAGCAUUUGC